This 467-nucleotide ribosomal RNA is filed under the name uncultured bacterium. RNAcentral's name for it is "partial 16S ribosomal RNA". It matches the Rfam family "Bacterial small subunit ribosomal RNA", at positions 28 to 507 of the family's 1533-position model. The record is from RNAcentral.
GACGAACGCUGGCGGCGUGCUUAACACAUGCAAGUCGAACGGAAAGGCCCUGCUUUUGUGGGGUGCUCGAGUGGCGAACGGGUGAGUAACACGUGAGUAACCUGCCCUGACUUUGGGAUAACUUCAGGAAACUGGGGCUAAUACCGGAUAGGAGCUCCUGCUGCCUGGUGGGGGUUGGAAAGUUUCGGCGGUUGGGGAUGGACUCGCGGCUUAUCAGCUUGUUGGUGGGGUAGUGGCUUACCAAGGCUUUGACGGGUAGCCGGCCUGAGAGGGUGACCGGCCACAUUGGGACUGAGAUACGGCCCAGACUCCUACGGGAGGCAGCAGUGGGGAAUAUUGCACAAUGGGCGGAAGCCUGAUGCAGCAACGCCGCGUGCGGGAUGACGGCCUUCGGGUUGUAAACCGCUUUCGCCUGUGACGAAGCGUGAGUGACGGUAAUGGGUAAAGAAGCACCGGCUAACUACGUG